RNAcentral lists this unclassified non-coding RNA (203 nucleotides) under soil metagenome. RNAcentral's name for it is "partial contains 5.8S ribosomal RNA, internal transcribed spacer 2, and large subunit ribosomal RNA". The record is from RNAcentral.
AAGACUAUAGACCUGCGGAGUACCUGCGGAGGGAUCAUUAGAGAAAGCUCGCCCCGCCCCCCGGGGCGGCGCCUCCUCGAUUCACACACCCGUGCACCCUCGCCGGGCUGGCCCCUCGCCGCCCGUCCCAUCGAUAAGCACCCUCCGAUGCGUCCCGGAACGUCGAACGAUAGAACGAAUACAACUUUCAACAAUGGAUCUCU